RNAcentral lists this ribosomal RNA (253 nucleotides) under uncultured bacterium. Its description in RNAcentral is "partial 16S ribosomal RNA". It matches the Rfam family "Bacterial small subunit ribosomal RNA", at positions 524 to 776 of the family's 1533-position model. The record is from RNAcentral.
CACGUAGGGCGCAAGCGUUGUCCGGAAUUAUUGGGCGUAAAGAGCUCGUAGGCGGUCUGUUGCGUCUGCUGUGAAAACUCGGGGCUUAGCCCCGAGCCUGCAGUGGAUACGGGCAGACUAGAGGUAGGUAGGGGAGAAUGGAAUUCCCGGUGUAGCGGUGAAAUGCGCAGAUAUCGGGAAGAACACCCGUGGCGAAGGCGGCUCUCUGGGACGGUACUGACGCUGAGACGCGAAAGCGUGGGGAGCGAACAGG